AGGAUAAUAUUUAAUUAUAAUAUUUGAUUUGCACUCAAAAGGUGUUGAUUUAUCAACUUAUCUU
Molecule: transfer RNA, 64 nt
Filed under: Hydrobasileus croceus
Lineage: Eukaryota; Metazoa; Arthropoda; Insecta; Odonata; Libellulidae
Description: tRNA-Ala
Rfam family: tRNA
About the family: Transfer RNA (tRNA) molecules are approximately 80 nucleotides in length.
Source: RNAcentral